This 450-nucleotide ribosomal RNA is filed under the name Lodderomyces parapsilosis. Its description in RNAcentral is "eukaryotic LSU rRNA". The stretch from base 108 to 259 matches the Rfam family "5.8S ribosomal RNA". The record is from RNAcentral. Lineage: Eukaryota; Fungi; Ascomycota; Pichiomycetes; Serinales; Debaryomycetaceae.
CGGUUUUUUCUUUUUUUUUGAAAACUUUGCUUUGGUGGGCCCAUGGCCUGCCAGAGAUUAAACUCAACCAAAUUUUUAUUUAAGUCAACUGAUUAACUAAUAGUCAAAACUUUCAACAACGGAUCUCUGGUUCUCGCAUCGAUGAAGAACGCAGCGAAAUGCGAUAAGUAAUAUGAAUUGCAGAUAUUCGUGAAUCAUCGAAUCUUUGAACGCACAUUGCGCCCUUUGGUAUUCCAAAGGGCAUGCCUGUUUGACGUCAUUUCUCCCUCAAACCUUCGGGUUUGGUGUUGAGCGAUACGCUGGGUUUGCUUGAAAGAAAGGCGGAGUAUAAACUAAUGGAUAGGUUUUUUUUCCACUCAUUGGUACAAACUCCAAAAUUCUCCAAAUUCGACCUCAAAUCAGGUAGGACUACCCGCUGAACUUAAGCAUAUCAAUAAGCGGGAAGAAAAA